GUUCCGUAGCCAAAUGGCAAAAAACGGAACCCUUAUGGAUUCGUCAUGUCUGUCUGUCUGUCUGUCAGUCUGUCAGUCUGUCUGUCCGUAUGUCACAGCCACUUUUUUCCGAAAUUAUAAGAACUAUACUGUUGAAACUUGGUAAGUAGAUGUAUUUUGUGAACCGCAUUAAGAUUUACACACAAAAAUAGAAAAAAAAAUUUUGGGGGUUCCCCAUACUUAGAACUGAAACUCAAUUUUUUUUUUAUCAAACCCAUACGUGUGGGGUAUCUAUGGAUAGGUCUUCAAAAAUGAUAUUGAGGUUUCUAAUAUAAUUUUUUCUAAACUGAAUAGUUUGCACGAGAGACACUUCCAAAGUGGUAAAAUGUGUGUUCAGGGGGAGGCCCCUGUAACUUCUAAAAUAAGAGAAUGAUAAAACUAAAAAAAAGAUAUGAUGUACAUUACCAUGCAAACUUCCACCGAAAAUUGGUUUGAACGAGAUCUAGUAAGUAGUUUUUUUUAAUACGUCAUAAA
Molecule: long non-coding RNA, 513 nt
Organism: Cydia splendana
Lineage: Eukaryota; Metazoa; Arthropoda; Insecta; Lepidoptera; Tortricidae
Exons: 2
Source: RefSeq, a predicted model, not a curated record